CUAAACCGCUUUCGCCUGUGACGAAGCGUGAGUGACGGUAAUGGGUAAAGAAGCACCGGCUAACUACGUGCCAGCAGCCGCGGUGAUACGUAGGGUGCGAGCGUUGUCCGGAUUUAUUGGGCGUAAAGGGCUCGUAGGUGGUUGAUCGCGUCGGAAGUGUAAUCUUGGGGCUUAACCCUGAGCGUGCUUUCGAUACGGGUUGACUUGAGGAAGGUAGGGGAGAAUGGAAUUCCUGGUGGAGCGGUGGAAUGCGCAGAUAUCAGGAGGAACACCAGUGGCGAAGGCGGUUCUCUGGGCCUUUCCUGACGCUGAGGAGCGAAAGCGUGGGGAGCGAACAGGCUUAGAUACCCUGGUAGUCCACGCUGUAAACGGUGGGUACUAGGUGUGGGGUCCAUUCCACGGGUUCCGCGCCGUA
This 415-nucleotide ribosomal RNA is filed under the name uncultured bacterium. RNAcentral describes it as "bacterial SSU rRNA". It matches the Rfam family "Bacterial small subunit ribosomal RNA", at positions 425 to 850 of the family's 1533-position model. The record is from RNAcentral.